CAGGCAGCAGUGAGAAAGCAUGAAGUGGUUUUUGGAAGAACUACCUUUCCUUGCAAAAUGCACUAGACUUUGCAUAGCUUGAAAGAGAUGCCUUUUAUUCCCUGCAGACCACUUCCUGCAGCUUGGAAGAAGAAUUUCCUGACCGAGCCGGUAAGGCUGCUUGCAAGCACAAGACUGCAGCAAAAUCUGGAAACCCUUCCCGGAGCUCCUUUUCUCCCUUACCCUGUGGGCAUGGCCCACGGAAGGAGAGAGGCACUGGGCACGGCCGCGGUGGCAGAAGCGUGCCGCUGCCUCUCGUCCCAAGUGCGGAGAGGGCCUUAAGGAGCGCAGCCUGGCCUCGCUGCCUGCCUGCCUGGCUGACCUCCCCCUGACUCGGGGCAGGCAGAAACAGAAAGAUUUUGUGCUCCGGCGGAGCUGGGCCUUCCCGUGACCCAGGCGAAACCCUCCAGCCGCUUUCCCACAACGCCGCGCCGAAGCCUGGCUGCAGCUCUUCGUUUAUUUUUUCAGACUCCUGCCCCUCUGGUCAUCUCCUCAUCUCCCAGGUACACAGCUGAAAUCCAACAAAUUGCCAACUGAACUUCCAAGGCACAGAGGACUCCAAGGCAUGUGACUGCCAUUAACAUCGGCUGGAUUCCUGCAAUGGGAGUGAGUUUGAAAAUAAGCAAUAAAAGGCAUUUCAUGAGCUCACA
This is a long non-coding RNA of Prinia subflava (tawny-flanked prinia), 689 nucleotides long. RefSeq lists it as uncharacterized. The record is from RefSeq and is a predicted model, not a curated record. NCBI's taxonomy places the organism in Eukaryota, Metazoa, Chordata, Aves, Passeriformes, Cisticolidae. The transcript has 3 exons.